GAAGCAUACCGUAUGUACAGUACUUCAUUUUAUUCUUCUGACAGAAAAAAAAAAGAUAAACAACAGAGGAUCCAGCUCUGUACGAGCCACAGUGGGUUCACACGGCACACAUUUCUGGGGAAAUGGAAAUGAGAUCAUGGCAGAGAUUGGGCUCAUGAAAGGAGCGGGACUCUCGGAGAGAUGAUGACAGAGGCGGCAGGUUCCACUCUGAAGUGUAAACACUGCCUUUCAAGUGCUUCCACACACGGAGACGGCGCUGCUCCGUCCCAGCCCGGCUCGGCCCCUCGCUGAGAGACAGGCGCACACCUGAAAGCAGGGACGAAAUAAAGGCUGAUUGUUUUUCAGUGGCCUGCGCCAGCACUAGAAACCCUACACUCCCUCUACUCCGCUAGUCCUCUUGUUUACACUGCGCCCCCAGAGCUCUGGCACGGCUGUGGCGCUGGGGCCAGGCGAGGACCUCUGGUGUGCGAGGUCACUGUUGUUUUCCUUCUCUAGCACGCGAAGCGAGAGAGCGGCACUGGUUUCUGUGGAGAAACUCCUCCCUCCCAGGAGCUGUGAGAACGGAUCUCUUUUUCCAUGCCGCUGGCAGCCGAGGAGCCAGCAUUUUCUUAAAAUCUCUUCGAUAGAUGUGCAAAGUGAGAGGAAAACAAGGAGACAGUGAUGGGUGAAUGGAAGAGGUACACUACUAAAUAAAAGCAAACCACGUGGUGUCACCCAGGCCAAGACUGCUCAACGGACAAGGCCACAGGCACCACCUACCACUGGUCUGUACACCGACAGGGGAGCAGUGGAAAGGAUGUGGAAGUACUUUUAAACCUGGUAGAGGAGGGACUUCAUCUUAUACAAAGGGCUGUGGGAUUCUAGACCAAGCUGUGUAGCAAUGUUGUUGGAGCCUGCAACCCUGGUUUCUUUCAAGACAGGGAGGUGAAAUACUUGAAUCUGUAAAUUUUAAUCUACUUGUAUACAGAUUGCAAUCAAAGAACACAAUGCCUGAGAAUCUCUUAUUGAAAUGCACUCUCUUUUAUAUAAAAAGUCUAAACUUUCAAUCAAAAAAUUUCAUGAACUAUUAAAUGCAGGUGGGUGCAGGCUUUUCCUAUCUUUCUUUGAUAGCUAGCAGCUUCGCAAGCAAUAAAAUCCCAAUAGAGUUUUUAAUUGUGUGAAUAUUAAGAGCACUGUAUAAUUGCAUGUGUAAUCAUUUUUUUUAGAAACUUGUAUUUUGACAUAUAAGGGUAAAUAUAACACAAUGAAUGUGGGUGGGUGAAUGUUAUUUAUUAUUUAUACAGUAUAUACCACAUAAAUGCAGCAGAUCCAGAAAUCUGAAAUG
Molecule: long non-coding RNA, 1324 nt
Organism: Lepisosteus oculatus (spotted gar)
Lineage: Eukaryota; Metazoa; Chordata; Actinopteri; Semionotiformes; Lepisosteidae
Source: RefSeq, a predicted model, not a curated record